RNAcentral lists this long non-coding RNA (6184 nucleotides) under Nicotiana tabacum (common tobacco). RNAcentral describes it as "long non-coding RNA (NTAB_LNC000034)". Lineage: Eukaryota; Viridiplantae; Streptophyta; Magnoliopsida; Solanales; Solanaceae. The record is from RNAcentral.
GAAGCUUCCUAUAGGUACAUUUUUGUGUUCUUUGUAAACUGUAACUUUUAUUUUUCUUCUUGUACAGAAUAGUUAAACUUUGUUUUCAUUGUGUUGCCUCUUUUAUAUAAGGUAGUGUUCGAGUCAGCUUGCACGCAACUCGACUAUUGCAACAUCUCCCACUAGCAUAUGUGCAUCACAUGUGCCGGGUAACUAAGACUUAGAAGAAAUCAUGUAGUGUUUUUUUUCUCCUUUUUCAUUGUGGUGUUGUCUGCAUAACUGUCCAAUCGUACUCAAUUUUAAGCUUUUAGUUAUGCUUUCCAUAUGGGAUUUUUCCAUUGUGGAUUUGAUGCAUGUACGCCAGCUUGAUACUACUUUUAUAACAAUAGGAGAUUGGAUUUGAUUAUGAUUCAUUUGCUUAUAAUAUAAUUCUUGCUAUGUUUGCUUCUAGAGGAUAAAUUCAAGAAGUUCGUUUGGUGUUUGAUAAAAAAUCACAGAGAGAUAUCAAGGUAAAAACAAACUAGAGAAAGCUUUUAUUUAUUUACUGGUUAAGCCUUGAUGACUUUUAUCAAACAUGCUCAGAUAUUAAGCUAUAUUGGUGUAUUACCUAGUUUCUUGUACUAUCAAUGAAGAUAAUAAAAGCUAUUUAUUACAGUACUUCUUUGAAUAACAAACUUGCAAAUGCGAAUUAUUAUUUGGGAGCUCUAUUUUACACUCUCAUCUUUCUUCUUGUGGAUGGAUUCCUUGAGCUGUCUCUGUCCUUGACAAUUACGAGACUUGCAGUUUUCUAUAAACAAAGCGACUUGUGCUUUUACUAUAUUUUCCUUUUUUUUUUUUUUUUGGGCCUUGAAUUAACAUCCGAUAAGAUAUCUUUCUUUGACUUAUAGAGUCGUGAUGGAUUGUCAUAUGAACACUUUAAGCUAAAGAUGUAGUAGCUGCUGUCUACAAGGUCUUUGUUUUGUUUCUGGAGUUUUAUGACGAGUUUCCACGGUACUUCUACCCUUUUAAGUCUUAAACCACAUCUGAACUAUCAACAAGAAGGCAUAAUAUUCUUAGUUGCUAGCGGCUUCAUCAAUAGUUUUGUUCAUAAUCAGUUUGAAAUUGUGAUCAUCUUUGUUGCUUAUAAUUUUAACCUGAAGGAGGAGAAUGCAUCUGUUGAAACAAUUAUUGUAGGAAAGUUCCUCCAGAUGCGUGAGAGCAUUGAAUAUGGUUAUCAUUAGUAGGCAAAUGAUAAAUAAAUAACUAUUAGAGUAGCAUUUAUUCAUGGAGCACACCUCACACAAACACAAACAAACACACACCCACACAGAGAUAGAGCAUAGCCCUCUCUUUUUUCUUAAGUGAAGUAGAGCAUUCACUGAGAAACAGAAGUUCCUUAUUGCGUAUAUUGCUUUUGCCUCUUAUUUGUUUGAGUUAUGCAGCUUACUUCAUCAGCAGCUCCCUCUCUUCUGCAAAAACAAGAUAAGAUACUUAGAUUGCAAGAUAACCGGAAUAAGGGAUAUCUUUCUCUUUUUGCUUGGGGGAAGGAGCUUGUAUUCCUCUGUUGAGCUUACUGACAGUGAGUAUUUGUGGGAGGUGCAUUAGUUAAUGCAUAUAUAUGCCCUUCAGUGAUUUAUACCCAACCUUUCCAGGCAGAGUAUUUGGUUUAACCCUUUAAGUUAUAUAAAUUGAGAUGUAAAGAACUCUUACACUACAUUGAUUAUAACAAGUUAUUACACUAUAUUUCAGAUUACCAUUCUGACUUCCUAUGAAGAGUUAUAUGUUAUUGUAGGUCAAUUUAAUAUGAUUGUAUAAAAAGCCUAUACAUUGCCAGUUCACAGGAUGUAAGUUCAAAACUGAGUAGGCCUUAGCUAUCCACUUUAAUUAUAUUAUCAUGCAAUUUGUAAGGUUCUAAUGCUCUAUGCAACUUUUCUUCUGUACUACCAGUGAAAGUUACCAUGUUCUCUACGGCUAUAGCAUUCUUAGCGAUAGCUCAAAUAUACAUAAUGGUUAUACCUUGGUCCUUUCACAGUUUUCAUUGUCGCUCUCAUCGCUGCUUCUGCUGCUGCUGUCACUUCCAUCACUGCAACUUCCGUCCUUGUUCCUGUUCCUCCUGCUUCUCAUUUGAUCACGCAUCUUAUGCAUGAAAUUGCCUUCCUUUUUCUUUCCACAAGCCCCAGCAUGUGCAGCGGUUGCACUUGUGCCAUGGCAUGCACUUUGUUGAGUUUUGGUGCCAUGGCUUGCAGCAGAUUGCUGAGUUUUGGUUCCAUGGCAUGCAGCAGAUUGUUAAGUUUUGGUUCCAUGGCAUGCAGCAGUUUGUUGAGUUUUGGUGCCAUGGCAUGCAGAAGUUUGUUGAGUUUUGGUGCCGUGGCAUGUAGAUUGUUGAGUUUUGGUGCCGUGGCAGGCAGAUUGAUGAUUGUUAUUGUCAUGAUGAAACAUUUUGCCAGUCAUACCUUUCAUUUUGUCAGCGAAAGAGUGGUGCUCAUUGUUGGCCUUGUGGCAUGUCACGGUGGUGGUUUUUUGACCGACAGUGGAUGGGGCAUGUUGAGCGGGCUUGUGGCACUGAAGUGAUGCCAUUGAAUAUGACUGAAACUUACUAUUUUAAGAGUAUUAUUCACAGGGUUCAAGCUUCUUAUCACUUGCUUGCUUGAAAUUACUGGUUUUUUUUUAGCGCGAAUAUAUAGCAGUUUUUGGUGGUGGGAAUAUUUCUCCUUACUCCUUACAUCAGCCACUCUAUCAUCUUUGAAUCUUUUUUCUGGAAAUGGCCAAUUUGAUGAGCAUCUAUUCUAUUCGGUAGAUAAUUUUGUUUAUUAAUUAUUCUAUUUUCCCACUACUGGACUUUUGGCUAUAUCCACAUACAUGACACUGGAAUAACAGAAAGAAAAGUAUAGAUAAGUGACCUGUAGCCCAAGCUCUGCCCUAGUGAUUUAUGCUUGUUCAUUUUUCCCUUUAGUGAAAAUAUGAGUAUUGGUAUGAAAGGUACAACAUAAUUUCAUAUAAUGUUUUGCUAAAGUGCUUGCAAAUAGACCUCUUCAAAAUUGCUUGUGACCUUGAUUAUCCCAGAUACGGCACACAGAAUAUCUGUUGAGGUGAAAUGGUUAUUAUCUCAGUUAGAGGGUCAAAAACUUUCUAAGAUGUGUAGUUCUAUUCAAUAUUCACCUUGAUUAGAAAGUGAUGAUAUACUUAAUGCACAGGUUUCAUCGAUGUUGAUGCAAACUAUAGCAUAUCUCAUCAGAGAAAAUCUCACCUUGAACUAAUGUGAUGUCUACUAUGAUUCAAUGAUCGUGUUUUUCAUUGAUAGUGGAUGGAUUACUAUAGGUCAUUUUAUCCUUGGCUAUGUCAGUAAUGUGGGAGCUAUAGAGGCUUGUGUCUUUCUCAAAAUGAUUUUCUUAAAACUAAAACUUUUGGAAAAAAUAUUGUUUCUCACUCUCAUCAACGACAUCUAUUAAGUGCGAGUAUGUUGGAAAUUGGACUUUACAUUGAUUGAUAUGGGCAGGAAAGUAUAGUGGCUCGGCGAGAUGUUAUGAAAAUAUACAAGACCUUAUUAUUAAGUUAAUUGUGUGUGUUUGGAUAAGCGAGGCUCAGUUAGCUAUUGGUCUGUGAUGGACAGGCUUUUCUAUACAUAGAAGGUGACCUCCCUUUUCUAGUUAUAAGAAAAGAUCCUAUUCUGUCUCCCCGAAUACGUGAGUAAAUGGUUGUGAUGACUCAUCUCCGCUAGUUCUCCUAAGUUUGGCAAGAACAUGGUAGCUAGCGGUUGUGGAAGUUAGACCCUGGUUUAAUAUGUCAUUAUUGCUGGUACUGCAUCAUAGAACAUAUUUGUGUAACCCUAACAAAAGAUUAUGCUUGUGUUUUGUGUCUUAAUCUUUCUGCAGUCAUCGAUAAAAUUCUCAAGUUUGAAAUUAUAUAAAUGUCUGUUAUAGGAGCACGAGUCAGUGGAGGGAUUGUUAAUUUUAAUCUCCUUUUGUGCUAAAGACUAAAAGUUGAAGAGCACCUAUUCUAUUCUUUGAAAUAAUUUUAUUUUUAUGCGUGUAUUCUUGCUUCCUUCUAAGCAUUUGAUGACAUCCAAAAAUAUAUCAUACCAAUAAGUGCUUAAUGCACUUGACCUGUAGCUAUCCCAAGAUGUCAUAUCUGUUUCUCAAGAAAGUAAAGACAAGUUCUUGUCCUUUUGAAACUCUUGAUGUAUUUGCUUCCUCUGUUUCAGCAAAUCUAAGAAGUCUUGAGAAGUCCCAUUUCACAGACCGGCAUGGUAAAAGAUAUGUGAGUUCCACUACUGACAUCUUGCAAAUCAACAUCUUGGAAAGAAGGAUUGGAAUGUAAGUUUCUCAAAGCUGAAGAAGCAAUUCCGACCUUAUUUUCAUUUAGAGUACAAAUGAAGGUUCGAAAUUAACUACUCCUUUUUCAAGGAAUGAAUUGCAAUUGCUAUAGUACAUUUUUUUUCCAAGUGGUGCCAUUACAUUGUUCUCCAUUGAGUCGAGUGUCGUAGGUAGUAAACAUAUGUGCUGAUUUUUAGAUUUGGCUCUAUGGAAAAUUAUCUCCAUUUCGGUGCUGCUAAUCACCAGUAAUGGGUUUAUACUGUACUCUAUUUUCAUUCUCAAAACAAAGUCACCAGUUAUGGGUUUCUUUUCCUUUUUGGUAAUUAGUUGAACUUCUUGGUGUUUCUUCCCACCUCUUUGCUUCUUGACUUCUACGAAUAUGGAUAUAUCCCUUAUACUGUUAUUGUAAAUGCAGCACAAUAAGCUCUUUCAGUAUCAAGUGGAAUUGAUCUAUUUCAAUAUAUACUUUCUCUUUCUCCCUCGCUUAGUGGCUGCGCAGUUAGUUCUUUCUGUCUCUUUUCUGCAUUGCUUUUCUUUUCUUUUUUUGUCUUGCUUUUUUUGGGGGGUGGGCGAGUGGACUUUGUGAACUAAAGCAUUUCUGUUCUUACAAAAGAAAUAUCUUUCGCUGGCCUUUAAAGUCAUGAAAUAGUGUCAGCUAUCGCACAUGAUGCUACGGAUGCAUUAGCUGCUUCUCUUACAAAGCCUUUGUUUGGUUUCUGCAGAUUUAUGUCGAGUUUCCUGGAUACCUUGAGCCCUUUUAAGUCUUAAAACACAUUAACUAUCUGCAAGAAGACAGAACUUGCUUUAUUACUAAUUAAUUGCUUCUUCAAUAGCUUUGUUACCUACAGUUUAACCUGAGAAAGGAGGACAUAACUCUGCGACAUUGAUUGUACGAAAAGUUCGUCCAUAUAUAUGCUAGAAAAGGAUUUAUAUGGUUAUGUGUUACUGCGGCUGAUUUUUUCUUUCCUCUACAUUGCCGUUACUGUACUCGUUAGUAGUCCAUUUAAUUUUCCCACAAUGAGACAACUAACCAUCUUUUGUUGGUGGACAAGUUGACAUAGUGUAAAUACAUAAACCUAUUAGCAUUUAUUCAUGGAACACACUUCACACACACACAGUAAUAGAUACAGAGUCAAACAGAGAGCUCUUUCUCUUAAAUAAAGUACAGCAUUCACUGAGCAGCAGAAGUUCCUUAUUGUAUAGCUUCUGCCUCUUACUUGUCUGAGGUCUGUAGCUUACUUCAUCAGCAGUUCCCUCUCUUCUGCAAAACCAAGAUAACAUAAUUAUUAGGCUUCAGGAUAUCGUUCUCUAUUAUUGGGGAGAGGAGCAUGUACCCAAGUUUUCAAGUCAGAGCAUUUGUGUUAACCUAUUAAUACACAUUGUAGGCAUUACUUAUCCUCGUUAAUUAUCUUAUAAUGCAUAUCAUUGUUCCCUACAACCUUUAAAAUUUUUGCCCUUCUCGCAGAUAUUAACAAUGAUUAUACCGUGGUCCUUCCGCAGUUUUCAUUGUCGCUCUCAUCACUGCUGCUGCUGCUGCUGUCACUGCCAUCGCUGCAAUUUCCGUCCUUGUUCUUCCUCCUGCUUCUCAUUUGAUCACGCAUCUUAUGCAUGAAAUUCCCUUCCUUUUUCUUUCCACAAGCCCCAGCAUGUGCAGCAGUUGCACUUGUGCCGUGGCAUGCAGCAGAUUGGUGCGUUUUGGUGCCAUGGCAUGCAGCAGAUUGCUGAGUUUUGGUACCAUGGCAUGCAGAUUGGUUAGUUUUGGUGCCGUGGCAUGCAGCAGGUUGGUUAGUUUUGGUGCCAUGGCAUGCAGCAGAUUGCUGAGUUUUGGUGCCAUGGCACGCAGAUUGAUGAUUGUGAUUGUCAUGGUGAAACAUUUUGCCGGUCAUAUCUUUCAUCUUGUCAGCAUAAGAGUG